This 497-nucleotide ribosomal RNA is filed under the name uncultured bacterium. Its description in RNAcentral is "partial 16S ribosomal RNA". It matches the Rfam family "Bacterial small subunit ribosomal RNA", at positions 28 to 507 of the family's 1533-position model. The record is from RNAcentral.
GAUGAACGCUGGCGGCGUGCCUAAUACAUGCAAGUCGAGCGAACAGACGAGGAGCUUGCUCCUCUGACGUUAGCGGCGGACGGGUGAGUAACACGUAGAUAACCUACCUAUAAGACUGGGAUAACUUCGGGAAACCGGAGCUAAUACCGGAUAAUAUAUUGAACCGCAUGGUUCAAUAGUGAAAGACGGUUUUGCUGUCACUUAUAGAUGGAUCCGCGCCGCAUUAGCUAGUUGGUAAGGUAACGGCUUACCAAGGCAACGAUGCGUAGCCGACCUGAGAGGGUGAUCGGCCACACUGGAACUGAGACACGGUCCAGACUCCUACGGGAGGCAGCAGUAGGGAAUCUUCCGCAAUGGGUGAAAGCCUGACGGAGCAACGCCGCGUGAGUGAUGAAGGUCUUCGGAUCGUAAAACUCUGUUAUUAGGGAAGAACAAAUGUGUAAGUAACUAUGCACGUCUUGACGGUACCUAAUCAGAAAGCCACGGCUAACUACGUG